This 330-nucleotide unclassified non-coding RNA is filed under the name soil metagenome. RNAcentral's name for it is "partial contains 5.8S ribosomal RNA, internal transcribed spacer 2, and large subunit ribosomal RNA". The stretch from base 1 to 120 matches the Rfam family "5.8S ribosomal RNA", at positions 35 to 154 of the family's 154-position model. The record is from RNAcentral.
GAUGAAGAACGCAGCGAAAUGCGAUAAGUAAUGUGAAUUGCAGAAUUCAGUGAAUCAUCGAAUCUUUGAACGCACAUUGCGCCCGCCAGUAUUCUGGCGGGCAUGCCUGUUCGAGCGUCAUUUCAACCAUCAAGCCCCAGGCUUGUGUUGGGGGCCUGCAGCUGCUGCAGCCCCCUAAAAGCAGUGGCGGACUCGCUGUCAUACCGAGCGCAGUAGUUACAUCUCGCUCUGGGCAUGGCGGCGGGCACCUGCCGUAAAACACUCUUUCUAAGGUUGACCUCGGAUCAGGUAGGAAUACCCGCUGAACUUAAGCAUAUCAAAAGCGGAGGA